This is a non-coding RNA of Cricetulus griseus (Chinese hamster), 414 nucleotides long. NCBI's taxonomy places the organism in Eukaryota, Metazoa, Chordata, Mammalia, Rodentia, Cricetidae. The record is from the annotation of a RefSeq genome assembly.
AUGCUGCAGGGAGACAGUGUUCCAUCAGGGGGCGCCAAACUCCGUGGUUUCAACUGUAUCCUUGAGCAGAUGCACAGAAGGCCAGAAAGCACUUCCUGUGUCCAAACACAGAUCCAGCUGGUGCAGUCAGGAGCAGAGGUGAAGCAACCUGGGCAGUCAGUGAAGAUCUCCUGCAAGGCUUCAGGGUACACCUUCACAGAACAAGGAAUGCAAUGGCUGAAGCAGGCACCAGGACAGGACAUAAAGUGGAUGGGCUGGAUCAAUGCCAACAAUGGGAAGACAACAUAUGCUGAUGACUUCACAGGACAGAUUCUUUUCUCUUUGGACACCUCUGUUAGCACUGCAUAUCUGCAGAUCAGCAGCCUCAAGAAUGAAGACACAGCCAUGUAUUACUGUACGAGAUACACAGUGUGA